This 621-nucleotide ribosomal RNA is filed under the name Lepidium perfoliatum. RNAcentral's name for it is "eukaryotic LSU rRNA". The stretch from base 268 to 423 matches the Rfam family "5.8S ribosomal RNA". The record is from RNAcentral. Lineage: Eukaryota; Viridiplantae; Streptophyta; Magnoliopsida; Brassicales; Brassicaceae.
UACCUGUCCAAAACAGAACGACCCGCGAACUAACUAUCAUCACUUGCGGUGGGCCGGUUUCUUAGCAGAUCCCGUGCCCGCUGAAUCCUCGGUUUCGCGUGCUGUUCUGCUCGGGAGAUCCUCCCGGACGGGAAGUGCGUGUAGCUUAUGGAUAUCACAACAACCCGGCACGAAAAGUGUCAAGGAACAUGCAACCGAACGGCCAGCUUUCGUCUCCCCGGAGACGGUGCGAGUGCGAAUGCUGCGCUGCGAUGUAAAGUCUAAAACGACUCUCGGCAACGGAUAUCUCGGCUCUCGCAUCGAUGAAGAACGUAGCGAAAUGCGAUACUUGGUGUGAAUUGCAGAAUCCCGUGAACCAUCGAGUCUUUGAACGCAAGUUGCGCCCCAAGCCUUCUGGCCGAGGGCACGUCUGCCUGGGCGUCACAAAUCGUCGUCCCCCUCAAUUCUUUUGCGGGUAUUGGACGGAAGCUGGUCUCCCGUGUGUAACCGCACGCGGUUGGCCAAAAUCCGAGCUAAGGAUGCGUGGAGCGUCCCGACAUGCGGUGGUGAAUACAAGCCUCUUCAUAACGUCUGUCGCUCCUAUCCGUAAGCUCUCGAUGACCCAAUGUCCUCAAAGCGACC